UGGAUGGUAGUGUAUUGGACUACCAUGGCAAUCACGGGUAACGGAGAAUUAGGGUUCGAUUCCGGAGAGGGAGCCUGAGAAACGGCUACCACAUCUACGGAGGAGGCCGCGGCGGAAAAAUUGCCCAAUCCUGAUUCAGGGAGGCAGUGACAAGAAAUAACAACUUUCAACUUUGUUGAAAAGUGUAAUGAGGAUAAUUUACAAACCUUACCGAAAAGCAAUUGGAGGGCAAGUCUGGUGCCAGCAGCCGCGGUAAUUCCAGCUCCAAAAGCGUAUAUUAAAGUUGUUGCAGUUUAAAAAGCUCGUAGUUGAAGUUCUGGCUGUAUUGGGCCUUAGCACUUGAUGCGGAGGAACCAGCAGUCAUCCGCUUGCAAAUACAUGUCCUUCCUUAACCGGUAGGCUGUAUAAGUAAGCACUUUACCUUGAGAAAAACAGAGUGUUCCAGGCAGGUUUGUCCGGAAUGCGUUAGCAUGGAAUAAUAGAAUAUGACUGAAGUCGAUUUAUUGGUUUAAGGCUUUAGUAAUGAUUAAUAGGAACAAUCGGGGGCAUUGGUACUUGUCAGUCAGAGGUGAAAUUCUAGGAUUUGACAAAGACUAACUGAUGCGAAAGCGUUUGCCAAGAAUGUUUUCAUUAAUCAAGAACGAAAGUUAGGGGAUCAAAGACGAUCAGAUACCGUC
This 677-nucleotide ribosomal RNA is filed under the name uncultured ciliate. RNAcentral's name for it is "SSU rRNA". It matches the Rfam family "Eukaryotic small subunit ribosomal RNA", at positions 322 to 1019 of the family's 1831-position model. The record is from RNAcentral. Lineage: Eukaryota; Ciliophora.